UACGGAGGGUGCAAGCGUUAUCCGGAUUCACUGGGUUUAAAGGGUGCGUAGGAGGGCAGGUAAGUCAGUGGUGAAAUCUCCAAGCUUAACUUGGAAACUGCCGUUGAUACUAUCUGUCUUGAAUACCGUGGAGGUGAGCGGAAUAUGUCAUGUAGCGGUGAAAUGCUUAGAUAUGACAUAGAACACCCAUUGCGAAGGCAGCUCGCUACACUAUCAUUGACACUGAGGCACGAAAGCGUGGGUAGCGAACAGG
This 253-nucleotide ribosomal RNA is filed under the name uncultured bacterium. Its description in RNAcentral is "partial 16S ribosomal RNA". It matches the Rfam family "Bacterial small subunit ribosomal RNA", at positions 524 to 776 of the family's 1533-position model. The record is from RNAcentral.